UUAAAAAAAUAAAUAAAUAAAUAAAUUAAGUGAGGUAUAAAAUGGACAUUAUGAAACCCUAAAGCCCAAAACUCAACCAUUUCCCUCAUAUCUCUCUGCGUCCUUUCAAAAAAAAAAACAAUAUCUCUACGCUCCUCCAGACUGACGGCAACCCUUCACUGUCCAACCUUUCACCAGACCGACGACAACCCUUUACUGUCCAACCUUUCACCAGAUCGACGACGAACACCAUGAACCUCGCUGCUCCCUCUCCACCCUAUUGCCCAAGUUAUGGGCUCUCUCGUCUCUCACCCUCACAAUAAUCGCAUCACCGGGAUCUUCAACAGCCAGCGACAGUCAUUCUCUCAGCCACACAGCGGCCGCAUCAAACCAUCUCUCGACCUCUCUCUCUCUCUUUCACAGUCUCAACAACUCCUUCUAGUCAUCUUUCUCUUGUGCUAUCCGGUCACCGUAGGCAAAAAUUGAAGUUGUGGGUGGUCUCGUCGAGUUCUGAAGGCCAAUACCCUUGAGCCACGAAUUCACCACCGUUGUUCCACCUCCGUGAAGAAGUGCAUGCCCGAUUGCUUCUGUGAAGAAGCUCCUUGAGCAGAUCUAAAAAUUCUGUGAAAUUUGUUUUCUGUUAUUUUCUUUUUGUAUUUGUGUACUUUGUUUUUUCUGUAUUUGUAUUUGUAUUUUUAUAGUUUAUAAAAAUUCUGUGGAAAUUUAUGUAUUUCUUUUUCUAUUUUGAUUAUGUAUCUAUAUUAAUUUUUUGAUUGUUGUUUUAAUUAUAAAUUUACAAAAUGGUUUGAGGUACCUAAUAAAUUAUUAAUUUUUGUGUAUGUAUUUUUUCCAAAAAUAAAAUUAUAAAAGUUAUUUUGAGAAAAUUAUAUUA
Cannabis sativa is the source of this 871-nucleotide long non-coding RNA. RefSeq lists it as uncharacterized. The transcript has 2 exons. The record is from RefSeq and is a predicted model, not a curated record. Lineage: Eukaryota; Viridiplantae; Streptophyta; Magnoliopsida; Rosales; Cannabaceae.